CACUUCCCCAGAAGUUUGGAAAGUUUGCGAGCGCGCAUCUUGCAGAGGCGCCGGGUGCGCGGUGUGCUCCGCGCCGCGCCGCGCCGCGCCGCGCUGCGAGGAGGAGGAGGAGGGCGGCUUGGCUCCGGACCGGCGAGGCGGCGUCCCUGUGCGGUCGGUGUGCCCCCGGGUCUGUGCCAGGGUAUCCGGGUAAAGGGGAGGCAGGGACGAACUGCGGUGCGGGGAUUAUCUCCUCCAGCCCCGCAUGAAGUCCCAGAUUAAAUUGUCGAGGCUUAAUCGAUUCACCGCGACUCAGUCAUCCCCGUGUAAUCCGCGCCGCUCUCUGCCUCCUCAAGCGCCAGGGAAAGAAAAACCCGAAAAAACCAGAAAAUGAAAUAAAACGCAGUUCUGGGCUUGAGAUGAUGUGAGCAGCAGGAGUGAGAGAGCGGGACGGCCCCGCCGGGCGCCGCAGGAGCUUAAGGGCGUCCCGCAAAGGUCCGGAAUAGCAGCAGCUCUCCGAGGGGGCUUUUACAGCCACAUCGGUGGAUAAAAAUCGUGCGCUGGGACCAGUGAUACUUCAUUAGAGCAUCAGUGUUCACAACUUUACACAGUUAAAACAGUGUGUCUUGCCUUUAUUGUUUAUCUAGUUUAGACAGCAACUCUCACGGCAUGGAAGAAAUACAUUAAGCUCAAAGGAAACAGGAUGGGCUCAAGGGGAUUGAAGAGAAUUUUGCUGCAUGCUUGUAUAUUAUAUUAAAACAAUUGAAAAUGAACACCUGAUCCCAAACAUAUUUAAGCUGUGUGGCUGAAAAUCUGACAGUGAUGAGCUCCAGAUGACCACAUAUCCUCCUAAACACCUCACCUAGUAAAAUAAAUGAAGAAGAAAUAUGCAAUAGGAUUAUUCCUUUGAGCUCCAUGAUGAAGAGACAACCAAAAAAAGCGGAGGGGGCAGCUGCAUCUCUCAGGGAUGUUCACCUGCAUGAAUAGUUCAUUGAAAGUGCUACCAUGGAGUGUGGAUCAAGGGCAAAUACAUCAGUGUGAGAGGGGCAGAGGUUAGGUUGAUGUGCAGAUGGAGUUUUAAAAAAAUAAUUUGUAUCAUGUAAAUCAUCCUGUGCUGCAUUGCUAGGUGCAUGAGAUUUUUGGUUGCAUGAGAUGUCCUGAAAGAAACUAGGGAGGCUAUAAAUUAAACUGAUCCUCUCUCCUCCCUCUUCUUUUCUGUACUGUAGAAGUCUGAUGUUUACUUAUUAUCCUCUUCUAAUGCUGUUAGUUUUUUGAGUUAGAGAAAUGGUCUCUAACUAAUGGUCUCAUCCUAAAGCAGAGGAUGUGGUUGCAUGGAUUGUAAAGUGGCCUUGAAUCACUGGGAAGAUCAGGGUACAAUUCCUUGCUUUGUCAAGAGAGAACUGUACCAGGAGGGAUGCAAAUUGCUUCCCGCUUUGUGUCCUCAUUACUUUAUUUUGUACUCUAAUAAUUAUUUACAAAUCCUAUAAACGAGAAGCAUGUCUCCAACCUUUCUUGGCAGUGGGAUUUAUAGUCAAAACUGUCACUGGUGAUGCAGGUCUUGCAAAGCCAGUACUUGUCACAGCAAGAGUGUGGCUGGUUAGUGAAUUCCUGCAAUUAGUAUUUCUGCUCUCUGUCCCCUCCGCCUACUGAAAUCUGUUGUGAGGUCUUACUUUCAAACAAAGGCUCAUGCAAGUGGAACUAAUUUUCCUACCAGUCUUAAAAUAUCAUAAACUGAAGACAUGACAGGUGGGUAGUGCAACACACCAUUUACUGUGGGAAGGGCAAGUAAUUGACAUCCGUGUAACUGAUAAAUAACAUUGAGAAUUGGAAUAUAUACAAGUAGCAGGCUAAAAGAAUUGCCCUUAGUGUGUUAAGCUAAAACAUGCAUGUGCCCAGAUGUACUAAAAAUAUGCUAGCUUUUCUGAUUUGGGGGAAAAAUAGUCAAUUCAUGACAGUUUUUAAAAAUCCUACUUUUCCUUAGGAGAGACCUUAGUCAUCCCAAGAGGUUUUUUUGGUGCUAGAUAAACAACUUUGUUUACAAAACUCUAUUCUUUUUGACCCUCCUGAAGAAUUCCCAUUCUGCAUCAAUACUAGCCAAUUAAAAAAAAAAAAAAAUCAAAGCCAAAGCAGAAACAGAGGGAGAAUGACACUCGUAUUCACAAUUGAUUUUGAUUCAGGGGCUGCUCUUCAUGCUGUGUGCAGACUGCUAAAGUGUUGUGAGCAGGACUUUGGCCAGCUACUUCCAAGUCUGAAGUUUCAUGGUGCCAGUAUUUCCUUUUUCUGUUUGUUGUCAAAAUAUUAAAUCCAUGCAGGAGCUUAUUUGUCCAGUAACUUGAUGUCAUGAUCCCCCAUAAACAUGUAGCUCUUUGUUAAGGAAAAUAAAUGUAAAUAUACACACCAUUUUUUUCCAAGUCUUAAAUAUUUAGCAGCAACUUACCAGAAAGGAAGAUUUACUGCAUGUCUACAGAUAUUGCUACACACAAAAACUUCAGCUGAUCCAGACUUGUCUAUAUUUGACAUACAGAUACUUUGUUUAAUUUAGAAACUAUUACUCUUUUUGAUACAGUUUCACCAUAUAUGAUUUGCAGAGCCUAGUGAUCACUACAUGUAUUCUUCUGACAGAUAUUUUAUUUAAUUGGUUUUCUGUUUUGUUCAGUUUGCAAUAAAUUGUGAGGAAAACUAUAAAAAGCAUUGACUUAAAUAUUACUGUAGCAUUACCUGUAAUGGUAAAUGUAGUUAUCUAUGCAAACUGGGCAAAAGUCCAUUUGUGGUAAGGUUUGGGUGGUGUUUCUGCAGAGUAGUCAGACUACGUUUUAUGAAACUAAAGGGAGCAUGAGGUCAAAAAUCCUGACAGCUCAAACCUUUGAUAAAUGGCAGAUAUAUCACAAAAUGAAAAGUAGAUUUCCCAUAGGGAGCGUUUUUCUUAAAAUUCCUUGAGAUGAUAGUGUGAUUAUAAAAACAAAUAGAAACCAAACCCAAUAAUCAUAUUUGAAUGGAACAGCAGAAUCCCACAUGGAAAGCAGAAUGAUUUUAAUCUGAUUAAAGUAACUCAGGACUUUAACAAUUCUUUUUCCUUUUUCUUUUUUAAUGGUAUAAAGUUUCUGGCUUACUUCAUCUAUUUGCUUCUACCACUGUUUUCCCUCUCUACCAGCCUUACAUCUUGCUGUAAGUCAUAUUGCUGCCUGCAAGCUUUCUCCACAUUUUGGCAAAUUCCCACUGCUAAAGGAAAGAGAGAACCUCUUCUCAUCCCCUAAGCAGACACUUAAAAUGGAUACAUUAAUUAGUAAAUGUGUAUUUCAAACAUGCU
Molecule: long non-coding RNA, 3286 nt
Organism: Corvus hawaiiensis (hawaiian crow)
Lineage: Eukaryota; Metazoa; Chordata; Aves; Passeriformes; Corvidae
Exons: 3
Source: RefSeq, a predicted model, not a curated record